AGCCUGACGGAGCAACGCCGCGUGGGGGAGGAAUGUCUGUGGAUUGUAAACCCCUUUUCUCAGGGAAGAAGUUCUGACGGUACCUGAGGAAUCAGCAUCGGCUAACUCCGUGCCAGCAGCCGCGGUAAGACGGAGGAUGCAAGCGUUAUCCGGAAUUAUUGGGCGUAAAGCGUUCGUAGGUGGUUCUGUAAGUCUGCUGUUAAAGCGUGUAGCUCAACUACAUAUAGGCGGUGGAAACUACAAAACUUGAGUGCGUUCGGGGUAGAGGGAAUUCCUGGUGUAGCGGUGAAAUGCGUAGAGAUCAGGAAGAACACCGGUGGCGAAGGCGCUCUACUAGACCGCAACUGACACUGAGGGACGAAAGCUAGGGGAGCGAAUGGGAUUAGAUACCCCAGUAGUC
RNAcentral lists this ribosomal RNA (400 nucleotides) under uncultured cyanobacterium. Its description in RNAcentral is "bacterial SSU rRNA". It matches the Rfam family "Bacterial small subunit ribosomal RNA", at positions 380 to 795 of the family's 1533-position model. Lineage: Bacteria; Bacillati; Cyanobacteriota. The record is from RNAcentral.